Molecule: long non-coding RNA, 2535 nt
Filed under: Lathyrus oleraceus (garden pea)
Lineage: Eukaryota; Viridiplantae; Streptophyta; Magnoliopsida; Fabales; Fabaceae
Description: Pisum sativum (pea) long non-coding RNA (PSAT_LNC004098)
Source: RNAcentral
UUGUGCAAGUGCAUCAUUCAUUCAAUUUCAUUUCAUUAAGUCAUGUUUCAUCCAAAAUCCAUGAUUCAUUCAAAGUCCAUUUCCAUUUCAAAAGAAUAACAAUCCAUUACAAUACAUCAAAGUCAUUACAAAUCAUUUCAUACAAAAAAAAAUACAUUUUUUGCCUAAGUUGACUUCUGGUCAAUUGUUGACUUUUUUGUCAACCAGUUGACCAAAGUCAACUGACUAAUUCUACUUAUUCUAAACCCUAUUUCUUGCAUUGCUUCUCCCACAAGCUAUCCAUUUGUAUGAGUCGUCUUUUCUUCCACUUUUGAUCUUUGAUGAUUGCCAUGUUCCAAUGUUUCUUCAAAUGCAAGCCAUUUUGUAUGCCUUAUCCAAUUCUCAUGUGUGAAUACCCUACAAAACAUUCCAAGGCAAUGUAUCAUGCUACAUCAAUCAUUCAUCAUACAUAUUAUCAUAACCAUAAACAAACAUCAAACAAGCCAUUAAUGCACAUUAUACAUCAUAGGAACAUGGCAUUCAACCCAAAGAGCUUGCACAUAUUCACUCAACAUUCAAAGCAAGCAAGCAUUAACAUGUUAAUAUCAGAAAUACAUACUAGCAACCUACUCAUUCAAACCAUGUUAACAUAACUCUGUACCAAAAAUUUCAUACCAACAUUAACAAUGCAUCCUUAUAGCUAACAUUGAAUAACCAUCAUUCACAAAAGGAAGUUCAUAUAGCAAACAGCAGGACAUUCAGGCAAACCAUCAGUUGCACAUUCAUUGCAUUCACCUAGCAGUCAUAGCAUGAUUUCACUCACAAAUGAAUCUAACAUCUCAAGACGGCAAUGUAGAGAUUUAUCAUCACUCACCCAACAACAUUACAUCAUCACACAAGUUCAUGACUAACAUCAAAUUAGCACAUUAGAAAUUUCCUACCAUCUAACUGCUAACCUUCUAAAAGAAAUACAUUCCAAACUUUCCAUCAUCAACAUAUUAACUUCAUCAGCAAUUCAUAUAACUGAAACACCUAACACCUAACAGAAAAAUCGAAACCAUCUUCACUUCCUAACUGAUUGCAGAACUAUCUAACAACAUUUUUCAGUUCAAGCUAACAUCCAUAACAGAAAAUCAAGACCUAAUCAUUCACUUAACAACUGAUAAUAGAAUUUCUCAACUAACCUAAUUGUUUCUCACAGUUACCUAUAACUAACAGAGUUAACAAACUCUCAACUAACUUUGCAUUAAUCAGAAUUAACAGAGUGAAAACUCUGUUAAUCAUCAUCCCUAUAAAAUCUCACCAUCACAUUCAUUCAUCAACUUCGGAUUCCACCAUCAAAAUCAUUCCUUACUCUCUCUCGAUCCAUUGAGCAUUCUCACUUUUGAAUCACAAAAAUCUCUCAAUCAACACCUUUACUCCCUCACUUUCUUCUUCAAUCAAUCUCUCCGAAGAACACAGACACAUCAAUAGAAUAAUAGUAGAAGAAGGAGAAGAUCUUGAAUUCAGAAGUGAGAAAGAGUAAGAGCAAGGAACGGUUACCUGUAAAUCUCAUCGUCGUCACCUUCGGAGUCUCCGACAGCGUAAGCUUUUUCUUUCACCUUCUUGCUUCAAAUUAGUCAUGGAGAUGUAGUUUGAAGGUUGAGGAAUCAAAUCCCCAACCCCUUGGGCUUUGAUUCCAUAAGAUGAUGAUUUAAUUUAGCUUUUCAUGACUAGGGUUCUUGAGACAAUACAAUUCAGUUAGGAGUUUAGGUUAUAAGUUGACUGAAAUCAUUGAUGAAUUUGAAUGGAGGGGUACGAAACAAGUUUAUUGGUGGUUGAAUUUCUUGGUUUGGCCCUUCGCCGCUGCCGGAGGCGACCUCCGACACGGUGGAGGGCGGUUACUUUAGGCAAGGUAGAUAGAGGUAUUCCUGAGCGCGUGUUUUUGAUUUUGAUUUGAACAUUUGAUCUGAAGCUACUCACUUCCCCCUCCCUGAUGUGUGUAAUUGGGCUUCUCACCAUAGGCCCAAGAUACCUCUCAUUAUUACACUUGAAUAUUACUAGGCAUACCCCCUGACUCCAAGCAAUAAACGUGUGGGCCUUGGUGCAAUGGGCAUGUGCCCUAAAUCCUUUUUUAGCUCUUACACCACCUGCCUUUUGUGUAUUUUUCCUUAUAUUUUCUCUGUUAUAUUUUUCUUUUGUCAAGAUUUUCUUUUCUUUUUAGUUGUUAAAAUGCAUUUUGACAUAAAAGAUUGAAAGAGUUGUCAUGAUUAGAACUUAGAUUUUUAAUUAGGUUUAAUUGAAUUUUUAAUCAUUUUGAAAUUGAGUAUUUAAUAUACUUUGAAAUAAUAUGGUUAAGCUAGAAUCUUGAUUAGGUUUUGAUCCAAAAUGAUAUAAUUUGAAUGUCAAUUGUAUGCUAAUUUUCAUUUAGUUUUGUGGUUAAUAUGCAGUUACUUUCCCAUUAGAGUUUAAUUCAUUUCUUGAUUGAAAAUCUCUUUGAUGCAUGAUUCCAUUUAGCUUUGUGUUUCAUUUUGAUGCAUGAUUAAUAUUAUACCUAGCCUCUAACUUACAUUCUUG